RNAcentral lists this ribosomal RNA (520 nucleotides) under uncultured fungus. Its description in RNAcentral is "SSU rRNA". It matches the Rfam family "Eukaryotic small subunit ribosomal RNA", at positions 20 to 542 of the family's 1831-position model. Lineage: Eukaryota; Fungi. The record is from RNAcentral.
GUAGUCAUAUGCUUGUCUCAAAGAUUAAGCCAUGCAUGUCUAAGUAUAAGCAACUUGUACUGUGAAACUGCGAAUGGCUCAUUAAAUCAGUUAUCGUUUAUUUGAUAGUACCUUACUACAUGGAUACCUGUGGUAAUUCUAGAGCUAAUACAUGCUAAAAACCUCGACUUCAGGAAGGGGUGUAUUUAUUAGAUAAAAAACCAACGCCCUUCGGGGCUCCUUGGUGAAUCAUAAUAACUUAACGAAUCGCAUGGCCUUGCGCCGGCGAUGGUUCAUUCAAAUUUCUGCCCUAUCAACUUUCGAUGGUAGGAUAGUGGCCUACCAUGGUGGCAACGGGUAACGGGGAAUUAGGGUUCGAUUCCGGAGAGGGAGCCUGAGAAACGGCUACCACAUCCAAGGAAGGCAGCAGGCGCGCAAAUUACCCAAUCCCGAUACGGGGAGGUAGUGACAAUAAAUACUGAUACGGGGCUCUUUUGGGUCUCGUAAUUGGAAUGAGAACAAUUUAAAUCCCUUAACGAGG